This 579-nucleotide ribosomal RNA is filed under the name Triticum aestivum (bread wheat). RNAcentral describes it as "partial small subunit ribosomal RNA". Lineage: Eukaryota; Viridiplantae; Streptophyta; Magnoliopsida; Poales; Poaceae. The record is from RNAcentral.
AUGUCAUAUAGGAACAACAACCCUGAGAUCUCAUCGUUUGCCUCUAGUUAUCCAUUGCAGGGAAUUAGGUACAAUGAGGAGAGUAACAACUAUGCACCACAACAAUUUUAUUCAGCUCCUAUUCAUGUACCUCAACACCGGGAGAUGUGUCCAAUGGAGUUAAAUGGUCCUCCACUUGGUCAACCAACAACUCCAGCACCUGUUGAGCAAUCUCAUGCACAAGUGCCCACACAAGAUGAGUUCGAUGACAUAGAUAAGCUCACAUUGCUUAGUCUCAAGUUCACUUGGAAUGCGGAAGAUGAUCCUAUUAGGAAGGUGAUACUAGAGGAAAUGAAGAAGAUUAAGAGUGGAAAAGAGCUAGUGGAAGAAGUAAGGAAGAUUGAGAAGAACAUCAACACUGGCAGUACUAUUUCAUCACAACUUGAGCUGAGUAUUUCUGGGAUUCCCCUUGAUACAUGUGAGGUUCUAGCACCAUCACAUCAAGCUGAGCAAGAUAGCAAGAGUCCGGAGAAAGAGAGACCUCAGAUUGAAGAUGUCUCGAAGCCAAGGAACAAGAUGAUCCAGAGCUGCAAUUCCUAA